Long non-coding RNA from Cyprinus carpio carpio, 593 nucleotides. The record is from Ensembl. NCBI's taxonomy places the organism in Eukaryota, Metazoa, Chordata, Actinopteri, Cypriniformes, Cyprinidae.
CUUUGGGUGGAGCUGCAGUAGAGUUGGAGGUAGGAGCUGUAGUGGAGUCAAAGGGAGGAUCGAAGGUAGGAUCUGCAGUGGUGUUGGAGGUAGGAUCUGUAGUGGAGUCGGAGGUAGGAGCUGUAGUGGAGUCGAAGGGAGGAUCGAAGGUAGGAUCUGCAGUGGUGUUGGAGGUAGGAGUUGUAGUGGAGUCAAAGGGAGGAUCGAAGGUAGGAUCUGUAGUGGUGUUGGAGGUAGAAGCUGUAGUGGAGUCGGAGGUAGGAGCUGUAGUGGAGUCGAAGGGAGGAUCGAAGGUAGGAUCUGUAGUGGUGUUGGAGGUAGAAGCUGUAGUGGAGUCGGAGGUAGGAGCUGUAGUGGAGUCGAAGGGAGGAUCGAAGGUAGGAUCUGUAGUGGUGUUGGAGGUAGAAGCUGUAGUGGAGUCGGAGGUAGGAUCGAAGGUAGGAUCUGCAGUGUUAAUGCGAGCUAAAAUAAUUUUCAGGGUUAAUUAAUACAAUAAAGCUACAAUAACGCGUUAACUUGUCCAGUCCUAAUUUUUAUAAAAUCUAAAUCUAAAAUCAAGAGAAGUAUUGUAAUAUAACAUUUUAAUUUUCAUG